AUAUUCCAGGAUCUAGGAAUAUCCUGAAAGACUUAUGACAGUGAAUGCUAUCCUUCUUUAAUGAUGUCUCAGGUUGAAUGUGAAAACUGUGUCCCAUCCAUCAUUUCACUGACACUGUCCUACCUCCAAGACCCCAUCCCCUGUGGGAGGUUGGCCCACCCCACAGCAACUGGCGCCCAGGAUCAUGGACUCUUGGCUAGUUAAGAGACAGCACCUUGGAAACAGCAAGAUGGAUUUUUCAUUCCUUCACCCUUUUUUCUUCCUCAAGAUCUUGAGUAAACACCUUAAUUCUUAAAAGCAUGCUUUUGUGUUUAAUGUUUAUUUUGUGCGUCUCUAUGUGUGUCUGUGGUAACAAGUCCUCCUCUCAGUGUCUUCCUAAUUGGGCAUUCACAAAUUAUGAUCAGAGUCUUCCUGAAAGGAAGUAA
This 425-nucleotide long non-coding RNA is filed under the name Monodelphis domestica (gray short-tailed opossum). RNAcentral describes it as "lncRNA (ENSMODG00000032221.2)". Lineage: Eukaryota; Metazoa; Chordata; Mammalia; Didelphimorphia; Didelphidae. The record is from RNAcentral.